This 429-nucleotide ribosomal RNA is filed under the name Acidobacteriota bacterium. RNAcentral's name for it is "Acidobacteria bacterium partial 16S ribosomal RNA". It matches the Rfam family "Bacterial small subunit ribosomal RNA", at positions 355 to 776 of the family's 1533-position model. Lineage: Bacteria; Pseudomonadati; Acidobacteriota. The record is from RNAcentral.
UUGGGAAUUUUGGACAAUGGGGGAAACCCUGAUCCAGCCAUCCCGCGUGUGCGAUGAAGGCCUUCGGGUUGUAAAGCACUUUUGGCAGGAAAGAAACGUCAUGGGUUAAUACCCCGUGAAACUGACGGUACCUGCAGAAUAAGCACCGGCUAACUACGUUCCAGCAGCCGCGGUAAUACGUAGGGUGCAAGCGUUAAUCGGAAUUACUGGGCGUAAAGCGUGCGCAGGCGGUUCGGAAAGAAAGAUGUGAAAUCCCAGAGCUCAACUUUGGAACUGCAUUUUUAACUACCGGGCUAGAGUGUGUCAGAGGGAGGUGGAAUUCCGCGUGUAGCAGUGAAAUGCGUAGAUAUGCGGAGGAACACCGAUGGCGAAGGCAGCCUCCUGGGAUAACACUGACGCUCAUGCACGAAAGCGUGGGGAGCAAACAGG